UCCAGGUGUAGCGGUGAAAUGCGUAGAGAUCUGGAGGAAUACCGGUGGCGAAGGCGGCCCCCUGGACGAAGACUGACGCUCAGGUGCGAAAGCGUGGGGAGCAAACAGGAUUAGAUACCCUGGUAGUCCACGCCGUAAACGAUGUCGACUUGGAGGUUGUGCCCUUGAGGCGUGGCUUCCGGAGCUAACGCGUUAAGUCGACCGCCUGGGGAGUACGGCCGCAAGGUUAAAACUCAAAUGAAUUGACGGGGGCCCGCACAAGCGGUGGAGCAUGUGGUUUAAUUCGAUGCAACGCGAAGAACCUUACCUGGUCUUGACAUCCACGGAAGUUUUCAGAGAUGAGAAUGUGCCUUCGGGAACCGUGAGACAGGUGCUGCAUGGCUGUCGUCAGCUCGUGUUGUGAAAUGUUGGGUUAAGUCCCGCAACGAGCGCAACCCUUAUCCUUUGUUGCCAGCGGUCCGGCCGGGAACUCAAAGGAGACUGCCAGUGAUAAACUGGAGGAAGGUGGGGAUGACGUCAAGUCAUCAUGGCCCUUACGACCAGGGCUACACACGUGCUACAAUGGCGCAUACAAAGAGAAGCGACCUCGCGAGAGCAAGCGGACCUCAUAAAGUGCGUCGUAGUCCGGAUUGGAGUCUGCAACUCGACUCCAUGAAGUCGGAAUCGCUAGUAAUCGUGGAUCAGAAUGCCACGGUGAAUACGUUCCCGGGCCUUGUACACACCGCCCGUCACACCAUGGGAGUGGGUUGCAAAAGAAGUAGGUAGCUUAACCUUCGGGAGGGCGCUUACCACUUUGUGAUUCAUGACUGGGGUGAAGUCGUAACAAGGUAACCGUAGGGGAACCUGCGGUUGGAUCACCUCCUUACCUUAAAGAA
RNAcentral lists this ribosomal RNA (875 nucleotides) under Shigella flexneri. Its description in RNAcentral is "bacterial SSU rRNA". It matches the Rfam family "Bacterial small subunit ribosomal RNA", at positions 668 to 1533 of the family's 1533-position model. The record is from RNAcentral. Lineage: Bacteria; Pseudomonadati; Pseudomonadota; Gammaproteobacteria; Enterobacterales; Enterobacteriaceae.